AAGCAAUCGCCGGUGGAUCGGAGAUCAUUGAUGUUGAUUGAACAGAAUAAUAUUUAUUCUAUUGCUUU
Molecule: transfer RNA, 68 nt
Filed under: Rabdotus mooreanus
Lineage: Eukaryota; Metazoa; Mollusca; Gastropoda; Stylommatophora; Orthalicidae
Description: tRNA-Ile
Source: RNAcentral